Molecule: ribosomal RNA, 253 nt
Filed under: uncultured bacterium
Lineage: Bacteria
Description: partial 16S ribosomal RNA
Rfam family: Bacterial small subunit ribosomal RNA
Source: RNAcentral
UACGAAGGGUGCUAGCGUUGUUCGGAAUCACUGGGCGUAAAGCGUACGCAGGCGGGUUUUUAAGUCAGAUGUGAAAUCCCAAGGCUCAACCUUGGAACUGCAUUUGAAACUGGAAGCCUAGAGUAUGGGAGAGGAUAGCGGAAUUCCUAGUGUAGAGGUGAAAUUCGUAGAUAUUAGGAGGAACACCAGUGGCGAAGGCGGCUAUCUGGACCAUUACUGACGCUCAUGUACGAAAGCGUGGGGAGCAAACAGG